RNAcentral lists this transfer-messenger RNA (376 nucleotides) under Phycisphaerae. RNAcentral describes it as "JABEVB01 sp013044165 Standard tmRNA". It matches the Rfam family "transfer-messenger RNA". From Rfam's summary of the family: Bacterial tmRNA, also known as 10Sa RNA or SsrA, is named for its dual tRNA and mRNA-like properties. Its role is to liberate the mRNA from a stalled ribosome. RNAcentral also lists the same sequence under 1 other name. Lineage: Bacteria; Pseudomonadati; Planctomycetota. The record is from RNAcentral.
GGGGGCGACAGGUAUCGACCGGACAGUAGUGGCCGUCAUGGCGUGCCGACCUGCCAAGCAAGUCGUAAAACUGAGUGGCAAAAACCUAAAUGUGAACUACAAGUUCCCAACCGCCGGCGCAAGCCUGCGGAUGGCUGCCUAAUAAACAGGUAGCCCGAUUCCCGUGGGCAGUCCGCGGCUCAUGGAGAAUCGUCGCUUAGCGGAAUGCUCGGGCAACAGCGCUGAUCGGUUGCCCGCUAAGACACAGGAUUGGCUGGAGUUUGCGGUAGUUUGGCAAUGGGCGCCCGCAGGCUCGACGAUAACACAUUGCACACGCACGUAGAGGUGACAGUCAACCUGCCACGGGACGAGGGUUCGACUCCCUCCGCCUCCAUUA